Molecule: ribosomal RNA, 261 nt
Filed under: uncultured bacterium
Lineage: Bacteria
Description: partial 16S ribosomal RNA
Rfam family: Bacterial small subunit ribosomal RNA
Source: RNAcentral
ACCUAGCAAUAGGUUGAUGGCGACCGGCGCACGGGUGAGUAACACGUAUCCAACCUACCGGUUAUUCCGGGAUAGCCUUUCGAAAGAAAGAUUAAUACCGGAUAGUAUAACGAGAAGGCAUCUUCUUGUUAUUAAAGAAUUUCGAUAACCGAUGGGGAUGCGUUCCAUUAGUUUGUUGGCGGGGUAACGGCCCACCAAGACUACGAUGGAUAGGGGUUCUGAGAGGAAGGUCCCCCACAUUGGAACUGAGACACGGUCCAA